RNAcentral lists this ribosomal RNA (465 nucleotides) under uncultured bacterium. RNAcentral describes it as "bacterial SSU rRNA". It matches the Rfam family "Bacterial small subunit ribosomal RNA", at positions 338 to 795 of the family's 1533-position model. The record is from RNAcentral.
CCUACGGGUUGCAGCAGUGGGGAAUAUUGCACAAUGGGCGCAAGCUUGAUGCAGCCAUGCCGCGUGUAUGAAGAAGGCCUUAGGGUUGUAAAGUACUUUCAGUUGGGAGGAAGGCGUUGAUGCUAAUAUCAUCAACGAUUGACGUUACCAACAGAAGAAGCACCGGCUAACUCCGUGCCAGCAGCCGCGGUAAUACGGAGGGUGCAAGCGUUAAUCGGAAUUACUGGGCGUAUAGCGCACGCAGGCGGUUGAUUAAGUUAGAUGUAAAAUCCCCGGGAUUAACCUGGGAAUGGCAUCUAAGACUGGUCAGCUAGAGUCUUGUAGAGGGGGGUAGAAUUCCGUGUGUAGCGGUGAAAUGCGUAGAGAUGUGGAGGAAUACCUGUGGCGAAGGCGGCCCCCUGGACAAAGACUGACGCUCAGGUGCGAAAGCGUGGGGAGCAAACAGGAUUAGAUACCCCCGUAGUC